AAACCUUUUGUUUAACAACAUUUUAUAUUUUUCAUUUUAAUGCAACCACCUCAUUAAAUAGAAAUUAAUCGAUCACAUUAUUCAGUAUCUCAAUAUGAUAGGUAUUAGGUAAUCAUGAUAGAUGCGUAUUUCAUUUCUUUACUUUCUCAUCUCAAAUCAUACGUGUAGUUACAUGAAGUUAUUAGGAAUAAACGAUUGUACAUAUUUAUCAAUUUCUAUCAACAGCUGAUUAACAUACACGAUGCUCAAUUAUUAAUUAUUCCGAACUCGUUGCUUAUAAUACUUGAACAUAGCUGAUUUAGAUGAAAUAUACAAGACGACGAUCAUCAAUGGACGUCUCACGGUCUGUCAAACGCAUAAAUUCGAUAAUAAUUUUCCGAUCGAGCUAGAAUGGCUCAAAACAUGGUGGAGACGUUCGCACGAGGAUUAAUAGACCAGAUUGUAUUGGAAGCUUUCGAUCAAAUUAAAGUUCAAUCCAAGAAAGAAGUGUCAUACACUCAUAUGCAACACAGUGACACAUAUAUAGAUUACAAAGGAAGGGAAGACAAAGAAUUGAUAGAAAAUAUAAUUCAUGAUCUACGAGGUGUUCAAAUUGGUGACACAUCUUAUUUGUUAUCAUCAUCUAUGUCAGUUUUAGAACAACGUCAGUCGAGACGUGCUGCGUGUUUCAUCGAUAACGCGUCCAUCGAAAACGCAUCGAUCAGCGUCGUUGAGAUGUCUGACAUUCAAGGUCAAGGUGACGUCGAACCAAUAACAAUUGAUUCCGAAUCAUCGAAAAAGAAACGAGCUAAAUCAACGACCUGUGUUAAAGAAACAGAUCAACUUGGUGUUAACGAUGCCACAAAAGUAUCCACCAAUCUAUUGCAUCGAAUGAUCGAUGAAUUAGAGACCGUAACCGAGGAAACUAUAACAAAUCCUAACGACCCUGACAUAUACGACGAAAAAUCCAAAGAAGACAUUGCUCUUUGGGAAGAAAAAGAAGAAAAAUUGAUUCGAAUAAUUGAAGAUACCGUAGGAUCGCACGAUAGUAUUACCGAGGAAUCUCGAUCGAUUAGACAAUUCAACGUGGACGAUGAUAGGGAAGAAUUAAAAUCGUCUAUGAUGAUGUCGGGUGCUUCUUCCUCGAGGAAUCUUUCAUUCGACGAAGUUUAUAUAGAAGAAAAUACGUCAGAUUAUCAACAAACUCAGCAACGUGUUUCAAUCGACGAUGAAAUUGAAGAAACUCGUGAUUUUUUCGUUGAAACUAAAGAUACUGACGAGAAAACUAAUUCGAAAAAAAAGAAAAAGAAGAAGAAUAAGGAAAGUUUAGGUCAAAGACUGAAAAGAUUUUUCCUCAAGAGAUUCAAACGUGGAAAGAAUUGAUGAAAUUACUUUCCUUAUUUUUUUGGGGGGGAACAAAAAUGCAACACUUUCGGUUGCAUUCCUUUAUUAUUUUUUUUUUACGUACACAUAAACACACACACACACAGAGGCAUAUAUACAUUUAUCUAUGCUGAUAGUAUUAUUUUGUAAUGAAGCGACGCUCAGUACGUUCCAACACAGUGUCGAUCGGUUGUGUCGAGCAAGUAAAAAUAACCGAGCAGUUUGAUCAUUGCAUAGUCCUGCGACAGAAUUACUUUUCGAGGGAGGAGAUGACAAGGCGUCGCGUUAAAAAAGAAACUCCCCCACCUCUUAAAAAUAUAGAAAUUCAAAAGUAUCCAAACGAUUUCUAGAGAUUCUUUAUUAUUCUUAUUAUAUAUAUACAUAUUUUUUUUUAAAUACCUACAACAAUCUCACUUGUCUUUUUUUUUUGUACGAACAUUGUAUCGUCAUUUUCUAUGAUCGUUUUUCUAAUACACCCACGCACCCACACACACACACAAAUCUUUCCCAUGAGCAUGUAAAUAAAAUAAAUUUGUACAACAAUCAUAGAACGCCUGAUGUUCUUCUAAUGGCUACAGAUCUGGCAACCCUGACAGAACGUCGAGAAUACCGCUGUUGAAAACCAUUUAUCGUAGUAGGAAGAACAUUCGUGGCACAGGGUUCCUCCUCGAACUGUUUUUGGACCGCAACGUUGCCGAUGACUCUCUUCUUCGUCAAGAUGACUUAGUUUCAGCAUGAUCUUUCUCGUGUAUCCCGAUCGUAGCGACAUCUGCAGAAAUAAAAUGAAUAAAUUUGGUAACACCCGGUACCACUUCUGUUUCUACCUUCGUCUGAUCAGCAUCAUCCCAUAGAAGCACCAGACCAAUCUACAAUGG
This 2237-nucleotide unclassified non-coding RNA is filed under the name Polistes dominula (European paper wasp). RNAcentral's name for it is "uncharacterized LOC107067541, transcript variant X1". The record is from RNAcentral. Lineage: Eukaryota; Metazoa; Arthropoda; Insecta; Hymenoptera; Vespidae.